AAAUACAAAGAUAAAAACGCAAUGUACAUUCAGCAAUGUACUAGAGCUGGUAGGUAGCCCAGCCGUCCUAUGUAAAUAGGGUAAGUAACCUGCCCCUCCGGGUUGUCCAUUCUUUGUUCAACAAUU
This 126-nucleotide non-coding RNA is filed under the name unclassified sequences. Its description in RNAcentral is "yjdF RNA". It matches the Rfam family "azaaromatic riboswitch aptamer (yjdF RNA)". The record is from RNAcentral.